RNAcentral lists this ribosomal RNA (254 nucleotides) under uncultured bacterium. RNAcentral describes it as "partial 16S ribosomal RNA". It matches the Rfam family "Bacterial small subunit ribosomal RNA", at positions 524 to 776 of the family's 1533-position model. The record is from RNAcentral.
UACAGAGGGUGCAAGCGUUAAUCGGAUUUACUGGGCGUAAAGCGUGAGUAGGUGGCUCGCUAAGUCGAUUGUGAAAGCCCUGGGCUCAACCUGGGAAUUGCAGUCGAUACUGGAGAGCUAGAGUUCGGUAGAGGGUGACGGAAUUCCCGGUGUAGCGGUGAAAUGCGUAGAUAUCGGGAAGAACAUCGAUGGCGAAGGCAAUCACCUGGGCCUGAACUGACACUGAGACACGAAAAGCGUGGGUAGCAAACAGG